RNAcentral lists this ribosomal RNA (484 nucleotides) under uncultured bacterium. Its description in RNAcentral is "partial 16S ribosomal RNA". It matches the Rfam family "Bacterial small subunit ribosomal RNA", at positions 31 to 507 of the family's 1533-position model. The record is from RNAcentral.
AUAGAACGCUGGCGGCAUGCUUUACACAUGCAAGUCGAACGGCAGCGCGGGCUUCGGCCUGGCGGCGAGUGGCGAACGGGUGAGUAAUACAUCGGAACGUGCCCAGUAGUGGGGGAUAGCUCGGCGAAAGCCGGAUUAAUACCGCAUACGACCUGAGGGUGAAAGCGGGGGAUCUUCGGACCUCGCGCUAUUGGAGCGGCCGAUGGCAGAUUAGCUAGUUGGUGGGGUAAAGGCCUACCAAGGCGACGAUCUGUAGCUGGUCUGAGAGGACGACCAGCCACACUGGGACUGAGACACGGCCCAGACUCCUACGGGAGGCAGCAGUGGGGAAUUUUGGACAAUGGGCGAAAGCCUGAUCCAGCAAUGCCGCGUGUGUGAUGAAGGCCUUCGGGUUGUAAAGCACUUUUGGCGGGAACGAAAAGGACUGUGCCAAUACCACGGUUCGAUGACGGUACCCGCAGAAUAAGCACCGGCUAACUACGUG